This 460-nucleotide ribosomal RNA is filed under the name uncultured Flavobacteriaceae bacterium. RNAcentral's name for it is "bacterial SSU rRNA". It matches the Rfam family "Bacterial small subunit ribosomal RNA", at positions 338 to 795 of the family's 1533-position model. The record is from RNAcentral. Lineage: Bacteria; Pseudomonadati; Bacteroidota; Flavobacteriia; Flavobacteriales; Flavobacteriaceae.
CCUACGGGAGGCAGCAGUGAGGAAUAUUGGACAAUGGAGGCAACUCUGAUCCAGCCAUGCCGCGUGCAGGAAGACUGCCCUAUGGGUUGUAAACUGCUUUUAUACGGGAAGAAACCGCUCUACGUGUAGAGUCUUGACGGUACCGUAAGAAUAAGGAUCGGCUAACUCCGUGCCAGCAGCCGCGGUAAUACGGAGGAUCCAAGCGUUAUCCGGAAUCAUUGGGUUUAAAGGGUCCGUAGGUGGACUAAUAAGUCAGAGGUGAAAUCCUGCAGCUUAACUGUAGAACUGCCUUUGAUACUGUUAGUCUUGAAUCAUUAUGAAGUGGUUAGAAUAUGUAGUGUAGCGGUGAAAUGCAUAGAUAUUACAUAGAAUACCAAUUGCGAAGGCAGAUCACUAAUAAUGUAUUGACACUGAUGGACGAAAGCGUAGGUAGCGAACGGGAUUAGAUACCCUGGUAGUC